GUCGAUAACAACUCUACGUAAGCAUUAGAAUUUAAAUAGAAAUCAAUCAAAAUAGAAAUUUUGGCAACUUUUCUCACCUACAAAAUGUGUGACUGGACAAGUGUGUUCAAAACAGUUCAAAAUCCAACUUUCAAUGCAAAGAGCAAUAUAACCAGACCUUUUUUUCAGAAAAUUGUUUCCAGUAUCGGUGUUCUUUUGUGCGCCAUUUAUGUGCUUUAUGUGUGAGUGCUUAUGAUAAUUAGGCUGUGAACCAUUUCGCGAAAUUUUUAACUUUUUGAUUAAAAUUUGACAGUUCGAUGGUUUUUCGAAAAUAACACUGCUCGGGAGCAUGGUUAGUUUUCACGCUCGUUCCGCUUAGCUCUAAUUAGAAUAAAUCCUACUCAGUUUCGUCGUUUCAUUCAAGAUGUCAAAAAAUGAGUAGCUUAAAAUAAUAUUUUGAGUACAAUUUUACUCAAUUUCUUAAUUUCAUAAUUGGUUUAAUUUGAGUAACCGUGCAAGUGUGGUGAAAAAUAAACAAAGCUGAAGUGGCGUUAAAAAUAAAUGAAGAUUAAUUUUACAAAUUCAAAGAUCUUGACAUUGUUUUUAUUCUAUCAAAUAUCGCAGCAGGCUGCUACAGAGCGAUUGCCGUAUCUCAACUAUAUGCAGGACAUACGCAGGAAAGGAGUGAACCAGCAAUCCGCAAGUGAUGAGAAUGAUGGGCCGGUGGAACUGGUGGCCAAAUCGAAAGAUUACGUCGCUAAAUUCAACUUUCCGGGUCCGCGACUUUUGUUGUCUCCAUUCUUUGAUUGCACAGCUUAGAUGUAACUCUUAACAUUGUUGCACAAAAAUUUUUGUUUGUCGAUUCUGAGUUCGAUGUCGACUUAAGCAGUUGUGUGCAAAUGGUGUUGGCAAGGAAACUGCAGGCAAUUGUCUGGCAAGCAAGGAAAAAUCAUCUCAGGAUUCCGGUUCAAUCAGCAUUCCGGUGAACAUCUGACUACGAAGAGGGUCGUUUACCGUGCUCUCAACCAAAUAGUUUCAACGUAUGUUUAAUUUGCCUUACGCAAAACUAACGUCAAGCACUCCUAAGGUCCGGUUUAGCUAAUCAGGCUCACAUGAUUAAUCUGAAGGAGCUAUGUAUUUACCUGCGCGAAUUUUGCAGAGUAUGCUACCGAGCAAAUCCGCGAAAUGCCAGGGAAUCAAAAUGGCGAUUAAUAUUACGCCGCCAACGAGUCCCAAUGCAAGCCAAACCUGCACAUUUUUUAUACCUCUCGUGGGUGAAAAAUUCAGCAACUAAUCGUUCAAGUUCCCGAAUAUGAUAUCCGGCUAUCAGCAUCAAUAAUUUCUAACGGCUGCCGACCGAUGCUUUGAUAGCGGUCCCGAAUUAAUUCUUCAGACUAUAAUAUUGUGUGUGAGGCGGAUAUAAAACGUAAACAAAUGCAAAUAAUGGAACACAAGAGGACAGCAGAAUUCCAACGCCAGGCGCAUAGCACUCUCAAAUCUUUUCUUCUCUAAAGUGUUACCUGCUGCAAGUGAAAUGCAAGCCAAACUUGUAAAAAAACCACCGCUGUGAUUAACAUUUCGAAAACAGAGCUAGAACCUAAAGAAAAGGACAUCAUUUUGGCCAUCCUAAUAAUUUGGUCAUGAAAAACGAAGCUGGCGUUCUGAACAUAUCUCUAUGGAAACUGUAUUGGCAGAGUAAAAACUGGAAGCGGUCCAUGCAGCUCAGGAAGCUUCUAAAGCUGCGUUGGAAACCUCAUUUAACUAACGACCUAAUACGAAAGCGUUUUAGUUCACAGACGGCUCGAGCAAUACUAUCGCUCAUGAAAAUCCAACGAACAUUACUUAUCUUUUAUUGUAGAUUGUACCAGAUAAUC
Long non-coding RNA from Sabethes cyaneus, 1853 nucleotides. RefSeq lists it as uncharacterized. The record is from RefSeq and is a predicted model, not a curated record. The transcript has 5 exons. Lineage: Eukaryota; Metazoa; Arthropoda; Insecta; Diptera; Culicidae.